Molecule: non-coding RNA, 150 nt
Organism: Pelobates cultripes (western spadefoot toad)
Lineage: Eukaryota; Metazoa; Chordata; Amphibia; Anura; Pelobatidae
Source: the annotation of a GenBank genome assembly
UCCAGCGCACUCACCUAUCCACUAAACAGCAACUUCAAAGUUGAAAGAUUUUAUUUGUUUUUUUUUGUUUUGUUUUUUUUUUGUUAAAAAAAACAAAUAAAAUCUUUCAACUUUGAAGUUGCUGUUUAGUGGAUAGGUGAGUGCGCUGGA